RNAcentral lists this non-coding RNA (45 nucleotides) under Loigolactobacillus coryniformis subsp. coryniformis CECT 5711. Its description in RNAcentral is "Lactobacillus coryniformis subsp. coryniformis CECT 5711 PreQ1 (pre queuosine) riboswitch aptamer". It matches the Rfam family "PreQ1 (pre queuosine) riboswitch aptamer". Rfam says of the family: This family is a bacterial riboswitch that binds to the metabolite preQ1, an intermediate in the biosynthesis of the modified nucleoside queuosine from GTP. One example of this riboswitch is located in the leader of the Bacillus subtilis ykvJKLM (queCDEF) operon which encodes four genes necessary for queuosine production. PreQ1 binding to the riboswitch aptamer is thought to induce premature transcription termination within the leader to down-regulate expression of these genes. Lineage: Bacteria; Bacillati; Bacillota; Bacilli; Lactobacillales; Lactobacillaceae. The record is from Rfam by way of RNAcentral.
UCAGUGGUGGUUCGUGACCAUCCCACCGAAAAAAACUAGGAGGCU